This 1338-nucleotide ribosomal RNA is filed under the name Triticum aestivum (bread wheat). Its description in RNAcentral is "partial small subunit ribosomal RNA". Lineage: Eukaryota; Viridiplantae; Streptophyta; Magnoliopsida; Poales; Poaceae. The record is from RNAcentral.
AUGGCGCGCAACCCCUGCGACAUCCGCCUCCUCCUCGUCGCCGCCGCCGUCGCCUUCAUCUACAUCCAAGUGCGGCUCUUCUCCACCCAGUCUUCUUCUUCUUCUAAUUCCCACCUGGACGCCGGACGCCUCGCGGAAGCAGAGAAAUGCGAGAGCCAGCUGCACGCCAUGAUCGACCAGGUCAGCUCCCAGCAAGACAAGAUCGCCGCACUUGAAGAGAUGAAGGUGCGCCAAGACGAGGAGCGUGUGCAGCUCAAGAUUUUAAUCCAAGAUCUUGAAAAAAGGAGUUUACAGACCUUAAUAAACAAGAAUGUGGUUCCUGUCGCCGCUGUUGUCAUAAUGGCUUGCAAUCGACCAGACUAUUUGCAGAGGACAGUGGAAUCUAUCCUCAAGUAUCAGAAAGCAGUUGCUUCAAAGUUUCCACUAUUUAUAUCACAGGAUGGAACAAAUGGAGAAGUAAAAAAGAAAGCUUUGAGUUACACUCAAAUAACAUUUAUGCAGCAUGUGGAUCUUGAGCCUGUGCGCACUGAAAGACCAGGAGAAAACGUUGCAUAUUACAAGAUAGCUAACCACUAUAAAUGGGCCUUGGAUGAGCUAUUCAUUAAGCAUGAUUUUCGUCGAGUAAUCAUUCUGGAAGAUGACAUGGAGAUCGCCCCAGAUUUCUUUGACUACUUUGAGGCUGCAGCGAAAUUACUUGACACUGACAAGUCGAUAAUGGCUGUUUCUUCUUGGAAUGACAAUGGGCAAAAGCAGUUUGUUUAUGACCCAAAGGCUCUUUACCGUUCGGAUUUCUUUCCUGGGCUUGGAUGGAUGCUAACGAAGUCAACAUGGAUGGAGCUGUCACCAAAGUGGCCCAAAGCUUAUUGGGAUGACUGGGUGAGGCUAAAGGAGGUACACAGAGAUCGGCAGUUUAUUCGGCCAGAAGUAUGCAGAACAUACAACUUUGGCGAGCAUGGAUCAAGCAUGGGACAAUUCUUUGAUCAAUACUUGAAACCAAUCAAAUUAAAUGAUGCUCAUAUUGACUGGAAUUCCGAGGAUCUGAGCUACCUCAAGGAGGACAAGUUUUUGACCAAAUUUGGAAAAGACGUGGCUAGCGCCACACCUGUGCAUGGAUCCGAUGCUCUGUUGAAGGCCCACAAUCUGGAUGUGGACGUAAGGAUUCAGUAUGACAAUCAGGGCGACUUUGAGCGUAUAGCUCGGCAGUUUGGAAUAUUUGAAGAGUGGAAGGACGGUGUUCCACGGGCGGCUUACAAAGGCGUGGUGGUGUUCCGGUACAAGGGCAGCCGGAGACGGAUAUACCUGGUGGGUCCCGACUCUCUUCGCCAACUCGGGGUUUAG